AAAACUCAGUGUUCAUUAAAAAAAACACAUUUCACUAUUGUUCUAGCCUGUUGUGCAGAUGGGACAAAGCUACCACCUAUGGUCAUCUUUAAAAGAAAAAUGUUUACAAAAGAAAAGAUUCCAAAUGGAGAUAUUGUCCACGUGCAUGAAAAAGGAUGGAUGAAUGAAGAAGGCAUGAAAAUAUGGUUUAACAAAGUCUGGUCACAAAGGCCUGGAGGGUUACUU
This is a long non-coding RNA of Phyllostomus discolor (pale spear-nosed bat), 225 nucleotides long. RefSeq lists it as uncharacterized. The transcript has 3 exons. Lineage: Eukaryota; Metazoa; Chordata; Mammalia; Chiroptera; Phyllostomidae. The record is from RefSeq and is a predicted model, not a curated record.